Molecule: long non-coding RNA, 388 nt
Organism: Anguilla rostrata (American eel)
Lineage: Eukaryota; Metazoa; Chordata; Actinopteri; Anguilliformes; Anguillidae
Exons: 2
Source: RefSeq, a predicted model, not a curated record
GGAGACCAAGCAGAGAUUGGAGAAAAUUGAGAGUGAGCUGAAGGCUGUGCUACCUCCGGAGUCUGAAGAGAAGAAAAGAGAACGUAAGGAAGUCGUUGAAAAAGCAUCCAAGAAUGAUCAGGAUGUCGACCAAUAUUUUUGAAUGUGCCAUGGAAACCGGAACAUCUUUGGAGAGCAGACAGAGCUCCUUCCAUUCCCCAGAUGUCCCAUUAAAAGAAGAAAUCCACACUGUCUGCAAUAAUUCUGCUCUUUGCUCAUCAAAAUGAUCUGUUAUCCAAAUCAAACAUAGAGUCUGGAGAGGCAUUUUUGAUUGCUACAAAAUUCAAUGUGCACACAUACACACAAAUACACACAGAAACACAUAAACACACACAGGCAUGCAAUCACA